AUACGGAGGGUGCAAGCGUUACUCGGAAUCACUGGGCGUAAAGCGCGCGCAGGCGGUCUUUUAAGUUGGAUGUGAAAGCCUACGGCUCAACCGUAGAACUGCAUCCAAAACUAUUAGACUAGAGUGUGGGAGAGGAAGAUGGAAUUAGUUGUGUAGGGGUAAAAUACGUAGAGAUAACUAGGAAUACCAAAAGCGAAGGCAAUCUUCUGGAACACUACUGACGCUGAGGCGCGAAAGCGUGGGGAGCAAACAGGAUUAGAAACCCUUGUAGUCC
RNAcentral lists this ribosomal RNA (274 nucleotides) under uncultured bacterium. RNAcentral describes it as "partial 16S ribosomal RNA". It matches the Rfam family "Bacterial small subunit ribosomal RNA", at positions 523 to 796 of the family's 1533-position model. The record is from RNAcentral.